GAUGAACGCUGGCGGCGUGCCUAAUACAUGCAAGUCGAGCGAACGGACGAGAAGCUUGCUUCUCUGAUGUUAGCGGCGGACGGGUGAGUAACACGUGGAUAACCUACCUAUAAGACUGGGAUAACUUCGGGAAACCGUAGCUAAUACCGGAUAAUAUUUUGAGCCGCAUGGUUCAAAAGUGAAAGACGGUCUUGCUGUCACUUAUAGAUGGAUCCGCGCUGCAUUAGCUAGUUGGUAAGGUAACGGCUUACCAAGGCAACGAUGCAUAGCCGACCUGAGAGGGUGAUCGGCCACACUGGAACUGAGACACGGUCCAGACUCCUACGGGAGGCAGCAGUAGGGAAUCUUCCGCAAUGGGCGAAAGCCCGACGGAGCAACGCCGCGUGAGUGAUGAAGGUCUUCGGAUCGUAAAACUCUGUUAUUAGGGAAGAACAUAUGUGUAAGUAACUGUGCACAUCUUGACGGUACCUAAUCAGAAAGCCACGGCUAACUACGUG
RNAcentral lists this ribosomal RNA (497 nucleotides) under uncultured bacterium. Its description in RNAcentral is "partial 16S ribosomal RNA". It matches the Rfam family "Bacterial small subunit ribosomal RNA", at positions 28 to 507 of the family's 1533-position model. The record is from RNAcentral.